This 2507-nucleotide long non-coding RNA is filed under the name Theobroma cacao (cacao). RNAcentral's name for it is "long non-coding RNA (TCAC_LNC004823)". The record is from RNAcentral. Lineage: Eukaryota; Viridiplantae; Streptophyta; Magnoliopsida; Malvales; Malvaceae.
UCUUGAAGAAUCUUUGAUCAUACAUGUCUAAAAUAAUGUUUUAACAUGGUUGAAAUGAGAUUGUAAUUUGUUCUCACACAAAUCCAUGUUUUGAGAUCAUUAUACCUUAGAAUAUUUCAUGUUUUGCACCUUUCUUUGGAUUUUCAAUAUGUAGGAAUCAAGCAUAAUUGACUCUUUAGCAUUGCUAGUCAUGUCACAACCCGGUACCCCCCUUGAGCCCGUGACAAAUGCCGUGACAUCUCGGUUGACAUUCGUUACCCAGAGUGCCAACCGGAACCUCGCAAGGCUUUAGUACCAUUUUUUUUUCAUCUCCCCUAUGAGUAAUCAUCGCCAAACCUCGUUUUUAAAGAAUUUUAAGCUUUUUCCCUUUCCAAACUGUGGAAAAAUAAUUUUCUCCUCACAGGGGCAUUUUCAUCAUUUUUCCUCGAAAUUUUUCGAACCCGACUAAAAAUGUAGUAGAUGAGUGGAAAACACAUAUUUCAUGAUUUAAAAUAAAGUUGGGUGUCUAAAACAUUUAUUGAAAAUGAUAUUGCAACUAUUUGAAUAAAAUAAAAAUAUUCAAUAAGAUAUUCUAAUUUCUUGUAAAACAAUAUUUAUAGAGUCAUCGGUAAAUAAUUUUUGUAAUGUAAAAGCUAAAUAAAUUCAUACGUACUAUAAUACAGAUAACCGAGAUAUGAAAUUUACUUUACAAUGACUCAUGGGCCCACAAGGAACAAAAGUGCACAAAGGCAGUAAACCUACAGUUUUUGGAGUAGUAAAGUCGACUAUAAUCCUUGACGAUAUCUGCUAUCCACAGGCUACCUCAGGCCUGAAAUGGUUGAAAAUGAGGGCGGUGAGAUUAUAAAUCCCAGUGAGUAAAUACAUAUCAUCUAAACCAUCUAAAGUUGAGUAAAUGGAGAUAGAUAAAAUAGUUUAACAUACUGAAAUUCAUCACCUUUUAACUUGUUUCAACCAAAUAAAAUCAAUUCAUAUAAAUCGAGUAAUUAACAUGGCUUAUGAAUUUUUUAAAACUUUGGCUCGUGCCAAAAUCAGUAUCAUACUCAAUCAUCAGGGAUACCUUGGCCGAGGGCUAUCCCAAACUGAGUCCGCCAAGGCUGUUAAAAAGUUAUGUACGCAUAAAUCAUGUUUUUAUUUUGAAAACAUAGCCGUUUCUUGGCGUUGGCCGAGUUCACCCUCACGUGGUGGUUGGGCGUGAAGUGAACUCUAAAGUUUGACCUCGGGAGUUACCCUACGCGCCUCUCUAAUUGAGGUACAUAUAUAUGACCAGGUUCCGUGCCCCUCUAAUAGGUUGGUCUACAGAACCAGCCCACUGCAACAAGCUAAACCCACCAUACAAUAAAAAUUCAACAACAUGAUAUGGCAAUUUUAUCAUUAUCCAGCUUAUCAAGGAAAACAACAGUUUAUACAUUUCAACACAAAUACCAAUUCAGCCAUUCAUGCAAAUAUUGUCAUAAGCCAAUAAAUUAAAACCAUAAAUUCACAAUACAUCAAAUGGUCUCCAAUUACUCUAUUUUCAAAGCCUUCAUUCAAUUUCAAGACCAUUUAUGAAAUCAUUUUGUUUAAACACAUUUUGUUUAUAAAACCUAAAAAUUUACCAUUUAAACUCAUUGUCCAUUAAAUCAAAAAAACAAAUAAAAACCACUCUAGAUAAUUAAGACGAUAGUAAGGUUACUCAUAGUACUAGGAGUUCGAUAUACUCCUAUUCCCGAUCUUCAGGCACAAUCUCUUUACUCUUGUUAGAGGGCUCACCACCUAUACAUCAUACGUGACACGAAUUUCAAUAAAUUGUGUCAAUUUAUCAUAAACUAUUUCAGGCUCUAUAAAUCUAUAUGAAUGCACGAAAUGUGAUGCAAAAUGUUCGAAUAACCACUUAAAUACGGUAUUCGACCUAAAUCGCACUAUUCUCGGUGUAAUUGGCUAAAACCUCCAAUUUAACUCCAAAUAGAUUUCUUUCACUUUCUACACUCCAAUUAUACUUAAAAUACCUCAAUGACUGUGAAUAUGAUUCAAUUUAUCAGUCCGAACCACAAAUCGCACAUGUCUAUACAUUAGGUAAAAAUUCAGAUUUUCAUGGCAAAAUUUCUCAUUAAAUUUCUAGCCUCACCAAUCAUUAAAUACCACCAAAAUAUCAUUAAAUAUCAUCAAUAUCAGCCUCAAUAUCCUCCCUAAAAAUUUGGCCUCUUGUGGGUUUGUGAAGAACAAAGUGAUUCCUUGCCAGAUUUUCAUACUUUCCAUUACCAAACAACCAAAAACACUUAAUUAGCUUGAAAUCUAGCAAAAUCAAUGCUCAAAACCUCUCCUCUCAAAUUCGGCCAGCAUGGGUUCAUCAUGCAAACUUGAGUUCUAAGCAUGGAAAAUGAAAAAGAAAGCAUGGGUAGUGUAAAUCACAAGAUAAAAUCACAAAAUUUUACCUUUAUUAGCUUAAUCCCUUGAAAUCCCACACUUUUUCUUCAAUUUUCCCACCUAGGGUUUGUGUUCUUUCCUUUCCUCUUCACUUCAUGCUUUGG